This 115-nucleotide ribosomal RNA is filed under the name Stenotrophomonas maltophilia. RNAcentral describes it as "partial 16S ribosomal RNA". It matches the Rfam family "Bacterial small subunit ribosomal RNA", at positions 1419 to 1533 of the family's 1533-position model. Lineage: Bacteria; Pseudomonadati; Pseudomonadota; Gammaproteobacteria; Lysobacterales; Lysobacteraceae. The record is from RNAcentral.
ACCAGAAGCAGGUAGCUUAACCUUCGGGAGGGCGCUUGCCACGGUGUGGCCGAUGACUGGGGUGAAGUCGUAACAAGGUAGCCGUAUCGGAAGGUGCGGCUGGAUCACCUCCUUU